GCCAUGCUGUCGAAUGAGAGACUUGUGUUAAAAAUCCUACAUCACUGUGGUUAUGUUAAAAUCUUACAUCAAGCGUGGAAAUGUCUGUUUCUAGCAGUUUUUGCUUUAUUUAGUACUUUCUGAGUCCGUGUGUCUUACAGGUGUGUGACUGUCCUGUGUCCUUUAAGAUGUUGGGUCCUUUCCCUCAUAACACCCCCGCCCUGGCCCGCGCACCUCCCUUGCCUUGGGUCCUGUGUUGCUGUGCCCUUCACAGCUGCCCUUCUCCUCCUGGUGACCCUGCUUCAGGGGCCCAGAAUGGCCUUUUGAUCUUGACCUUUUGCAUUACUUGUAGCUGCCUCUUAUGAACACUGCAUCCUGGAUUUAGCGUUUUUCUUUUAAUAUGCAUGUAAUUUAAUCCUCAGUUCUGAUAUGUUUUGUUUUAUUAAAAAAUAUUUACAAAUGUUAGUAGUUAUACUUCUAAGAUAUAUGUUUUUUUCCCAUAAUCAAAUCACC
RNAcentral lists this long non-coding RNA (492 nucleotides) under Bos taurus (domestic cattle). RNAcentral's name for it is "long non-coding RNA NONBTAT013420". Lineage: Eukaryota; Metazoa; Chordata; Mammalia; Artiodactyla; Bovidae. The record is from RNAcentral.